AACGAACGCUGGCGGCAUGCCUAACACAUGCAAGUCGAACGAUUGCCUUCGGGUGAUAGUGGCGCACGGGUGCGUAACGCGUGGGAAUCUGCCCUUAGGUUCGGAAUAACAGCUGGAAACGGCUGCUAAUACCGGAUGAUAUCGCGAGAUCAAAGAUUUAUCGCCUGAGGAUGAGCCCGCGUUGGAUUAGGUAGUUGGUGGGGUAAAGGCCUACCAAGCCGACGAUCCAUAGCUGGUCUGAGAGGAUGAUCAGCCACACUGGGACUGAGACACGGCCCAGACUCAUACGGGAGGCAGCAGUGGGGAAUAUUGGACAAUGGGCGCAAGCCUGAUCCAGCAAUGCCGCGUGAGUGAUGAAGGCCCUAGGGUUGUAAAGCUCUUUUACCCGGGAAGAUAAUGACUGUACCGGGAGAAUAAGCCCCAGCUAACUCCGUG
This 435-nucleotide ribosomal RNA is filed under the name uncultured bacterium. RNAcentral's name for it is "partial 16S ribosomal RNA". It matches the Rfam family "Bacterial small subunit ribosomal RNA", at positions 29 to 507 of the family's 1533-position model. The record is from RNAcentral.